AACGAACGCUGGCGGCAGGCUUAACACAUGCAAGUCGAGCGAGACCUUCGGGUCUAGCGGCGGACGGGUGAGUAACGCGUGGGAACGUGCCCUUCUCUACGGUAUAGCCCCGGGAAACUGGGAGUCAUACCGUAUACGCCCUUUGGGGGAAAGAUUUAUCGGAGAAGGAUCGGCCCGCGUUGGAUUCGGUAGUUGGUGGGGUAAUGGCCCACCAAGCCGACGAUCCAUAGCUGGUUGGAUAGGAUGAUCAGCCACACUGGGACUGAGACACGGCCCAGACUCCUACGGGAGGCAGCAGUGGGGAAUCUUAGACAAUGGGGGCAACCCUGAUCUAGCCAUGCCGCGUGAGUGAUGAAGGCCUUAGGGUUGUAAAGCUCUUUCAGCUGGGAAGAUAAUGACGGUACCAGCAGAAGAAGCCCCGGCUAACUCCGUG
RNAcentral lists this ribosomal RNA (433 nucleotides) under uncultured bacterium. RNAcentral's name for it is "partial 16S ribosomal RNA". It matches the Rfam family "Bacterial small subunit ribosomal RNA", at positions 29 to 507 of the family's 1533-position model. The record is from RNAcentral.